CACAAGGACUUGUAGCAGUUCAAGUUAGAGCAGUGUGAUUGCGUGCGUGAGCUAUUUUAUAACAUGGAAAAGCGAAGGUCAGCCAGAGAGGAGACACAACUGAUCUCAGGGCUCCUCCCAGCACAUGGGAAACCUGGGCAAGAUGGUGCCCUCACCUGGGUUGGGGUCAUAGUUGGAAACUUUCCAGCCCAUGGGCAGACCUAAUCCCAUUGCAGACAAUGGAGUUUUCUCAUCUGUUUUUAAGCGAAGCAGUUGCCAUUGUAAAACAACUAAAUUCAUCAGGUUAGGACAUGAAAUAAUGCCAGGUUUCUCUUGAACAUAAGAUUGAUCUUUCCCUGUCCCCAUCAUGCGACACUCAGCUUUGGGCAUUGGUGACUCUGUACCCUUAGAUCCUCUUGUCUCAGAUGCUAACCAGCCUCCCUGCCACACACGAUUCUCUGGCUGGUUUCUCACAUGCCUCACACUCACAGGGCCUGCCUAGCUCUGCAGAGACUCCAAGGUGUGGCCCUGGAUCGUGAUCACUCUAAGAGCCCUUCCAUAGAUGAUGGACUCGAGAUACCCUGCCCCCCAUGCUGCUGUCGUCCAUUCCGCUUCUGCCUAUGUCGGGUGCCUGCUCAUCUAUUCUGUGAGCCAGACUCUGUAGAUGGGGCAGGGAUCAGGGCUGUCAGAGCCUCUGAGAGGAGCUGGCUGGCGAAUCCCCUCCUGUGUGCCCUUAAGUUCUCAGCGUUUUGCAGUUUUGUGUCUGGUGUUGGGUGGAGCCUGCGGCACAUAGACUUUGCUGGUGUCAGUGUCGUUGUGUCUGGGAGGCCAGCAUGGCCUUGGAGCAGCCUGCUAUCCCCACAAAUCUGAGAGUGGAGAAGCAGCAGGCCCAGUGCCCACUUUUAGCCAAUUUCCUUCCUUGACAACGAAGCCUGCCUCACCCAGCACUGAGGCUGAAAGUGGGACAGUGGGAAGCGGGCCUUUCUUCUCAGCUUUAGGUUCUGUGCCAGUGCGGCACAUGGGAGUCCCCACCUCCAAAUAGGGAGCAGAAAGAUAGCCUUUCUCACCCACCCUUGAGGAGGCCACCUUUUCUGUGCUCUCCUGGCAUUUCUGACCUGCAGAAGUUUGCUCUGACCCUGGGGGAGGUGGUGCCCCUAAGGAAGGGACUCCAAGAGUUCCCUGAGGACAUGGGCAGCACAUCACGAGGCUUCAGUGAUUUGCAGGGCUGCCACUUAACACUAUCAUUAAAAUGCAUCUUCUCUGUGAAACUCACCCCUUGGAGGCUGCGGUGCCCAUGGGAGGGACAGAUGGGGGGAGACAGAAUAAAGGAGGUCACCACAUAGACCCCCACAUGGAGGUUCAGCAGAAGUGGGGGUUUCUCCACCCACUGUCACUUUUACUCCAAACGUUGUUAAAUAUAGUUUCUGCUGAGAUGAGAAGAGCCAUGUUCUCCCAGAGAGCAAUUAAGUUUAGCCCAGGGUCACGGUGGGCUGCCAUGUGCUCUUCCAGGCCCCACUUGAGCCCACGCGGAGGCUUUUUUGCUUCAAAAGAUGUUACUGACGCAUACAACUCAGAACGUUUCAUCUUGAGUCGGGGGGUGGGUCUUCAAGGGCCCUGUAGGUUCCACAGUCCACAUGGCCCCAAGUGGAGAGGGUUUAAAAGUAAGGGUUUAAGCUGGCCUUUGGGGUCAAAAGGACCAUGGCUUGCUUUGCUGGGCUCUGUCCUUCUGUAGCCCUCUAAUCUCCAUUGUCUGUCCAGGUAGCUCCUGUCUGACCCAGGGCCAGAGGCAGCCUCUGUCCUUGGAUCUCUAUUUAGUCAGGAGGCACUGAGCAACGCCUGAGGUUGUUAGCCUACACCCAACCCUCCUGAGCCACUGUGUUGUGAGGCUCCUCUUUCUCUUUCCUCCUUCCCGGUUGCUCAUUUUGCCUUUGCAGAUGCUGAUGGCAAACAAAGGGGAUGCCUUCAAAUAAAAUAACCCUGGUGUUCACUGCUUAGGAUGUACCCCAGGAGCUGUAAGAACCACACUCUAGAAGCAUGGGUCUGUGUGCUUACAGCCUCCCUAGCCAGUAGGCAUGGCACACACCGGCUGCAGUGCUGGUGGUAUUGGCUGGGCUCCUCUCUGCCUGAGGCAUUCAUUAGCUCUGGGCUGUUGCUAUGUCAUUCUAGUCCAAGCUAGUAUUGUCUGGUCACUGCGCUGGCCACUGUGAGCUGCUGUAACAGUGAAUGGGAAGCAGAGGAUAUUCUGAGAACAGGUUCUUGCUGGGGCAAUCUUCACGUUUGACUUUGGAAUUGAAUCAUGAAGACCGCUCUCACUUAGGGAUUUGGAGCAUCCUUCCAGAUGCAGGUUCCCAGGACUCUAAUGAGAACAACUUGGGAGUCACUGGGGUGGUGGAGGUGCCCAAAGAAAGAGGGAGGAACAGAAAGCAGUGAUGGCCAAUGUUGGGCCCUGGGACAGGAUAGAGUGUUGUUGCACCGGCCAGGCAGAGGGGAAGCUGGGAAGAAACUGUCAGGGUUGGAGGGGGUGUUUCCAGAGUUUCUCCUUUGUUUGAACAAGCUGUGAAACAUACAGUCUCAGAGCAUCAAGAGUAGCAAGCUGUCCAUUCCCAGGCUGCCAGGCUGGCAGAGGCCCCACAGAGCAGGUGGCAUGGCACAGCUGUGGUGGCGUCCCUGCCACAUCAAUGGGAGAAUGUCCUAAGUCAGCCAUCAGGGUCAACAUAGGGGAGCAGGGAAACUCCAAGGGAUUAGGCCAGCUUGCUUUAGGGCAGGGCCUUUCCCAACUGGCAGACGUGGGAAGCCCUCAUUCUUCAGUGAAUAGUGUAUACAGAAACAGGACCCUUUGGCUAUGGUGCCAUGGUGCCAUGUUGCCAUGUCUGAGUGGGCUCGUUGGACCUUGCAAAGCUCAGACAGAUGUUGGAAACCAUGCGUUCUUCACCCUGCCAGACGCCAGAGCUGGGCCGCGCUUCUUCCCUUCCCACCGGGUCGUUAAGACCCAUUUGUUUCCUUGUGUUGUGUUGCUGAUCCUUCCUCAGGUGAAAAAAUGAGUGUGAGAAUGAAGUAACAAGGCGUGCAGCUGGGGCGUGGGGGCUGGGAGCACAGGGGAGGGCGGGCUGCAGAAAACUUUUAUGCUUCUCUUACUAGUUCACCAUUGCCAAGUUCAGGGGUUCGAUUAGGGGUCCUCUUGCCCAAGUCAGAAUAAAGCCUGGUGCAGAGGCACGUAGCUGCUGCUCUCCACUUCCUGGGGAAGUUCCCUGGGUACAAGCUGUGCCUGCUACAGCCCCUCCAAACGAUGCCCACAGGAGCUGCCUGGCACUCUCCUAGGUCCUACCACAGCCCACAAUUUGGGGCUUACUUGAAGUGCAGGUUUCAGAAGGCCUGGAAAAUGAGGCUCAGGAAGAUGCAGCGAGGAGCUUGGGGCCUGGCAUUACUGUGGAGCCAUGGCCUCUGAUGUCUGCUCUACACUGCACCGACCUGCUGUCCCUAGCUGGCUUGCUUGGGAGCCACAGCCCUUCUGUGUCCCUUGUGUGUCCAGUAUGCCCAAGGUAUGCUAAAUGGCCUUAGAACACUGAGACCUGUGUCCCACCAUCUCAGCAGUGUAGCUCAGUGGUAUACUCCUGGGGAGGAGGAGCAAAACGGCUUGGGUCUCUCUUGUUCACACUUGGGAGCUGCUGCAACGGGGCUGCAGAUGCUCACCCAGCUGUCCUGGGAAGAGUGGCUGAGCAUACAGCACAGCAGGAAGCAGCCAUCCUGUUGCCACUUGGACAGCCAUUUGGCACCUUUUCCUCUCAAGGGCUCAGGAGUGGCAUCUGUGGAGAUGGAGGGCUUUAGGCCAAGUGUUGCCUGAGGCUGUGUCCUACCUGGUAGCCUGGUGACUGUGGACUUGCCCCUCUGCAGCCUUUGUGCCGCUAUCUCCCCUGCUGCAGACAGUGUUGGCAGUCGGCACGCCAAGGUGGAGCUGCACAAGAACCACAAAGCUGCAAUUGUGACAGCUGCUGGUGUCACUCAUGGGGGUGUGCAGAAUUCCUGAGCUCCUUAGAAACAGGGCAGAGAGGGUGUGGCGUUGAGAUGUCAGUCAAGCGUGUUCACUACAGACCGUGGUGGUGGAACUCCAGCUGUGAGUGCACAGAGCUACGGCUGCAUGUUAGGCCUUCAGAGCUGUGUGGCCUGGCUCACUCUCUGCCUCAGUGUCCUUACCUGUAAAACGGGGCUCAGAGUCACAAAGACCUCAGAGGCUUGAAAAUAUUAAAAGAAAUGCCACCAAGCGUGUGCCUUUGCAGGGUCCUGUUCUGAUGCAGUCACAGCCUGGCUUCUGUGUUCAGAGUCUCACUUUGGUCCCCAAAGGAUAUGGCUUGGCAGCACAGAUAUUAGUACAACUGCUGCCCCACUUCGUGGCUUUUAUUUUAAAUACUGGAGCCUCAGAGAAUCCGGUUUGGAGGAAGGGAAGCGGAUUAGGUCGUCUUUGGCACAAUACCCGCCAUCCAAUUUAGGGUUGGUGAAAAAAACCACAAUCCCUGUAAUAGUGGAGGUGUGGGAACAGCACAUGGGGCGCUCAGGUGACUCGAUUCACCAUGGUGCCACCCCAUCCUGGUGUUAGCUUUUCUAUCUGUGAGUCAGGUAGUCACACAGCACACAGCCUUCCCUCCCAACUUUAAAAUGUGCUGUCUAGAGUGACCAUGAGUGGUUACCAGUGAGAUACCUACUGCCUUGAUGCUGCUUUGCAGAAAACAUCAGUCCUGGGUCUUUGGUGGUCCCAAGUCCGAGCACUGCUCCCACUGCAGAUGGCAGGCUAUGAGGCCCUGGAGUUGACUGGACUCUUGGUGGGGCCUCAGGUGCCUCUCCUUGUAUCAUAUCUAGGGCAAAGGGGGAGGGUCACUCAGUCCACACCAACUCACAGGUUGAACAGGGGUGAUGUGGGAGGAAGGGGCCAGUACACCGUGCACUGGGGCCAGGGAUCCCUUCUGACAGGUUGUGUGAGGAACUUGGAACACCCUCAUAUUGCAUUCUGUCCCUCCUGGCAUAUGUAGAAUGUCCACACAGCCUGGCUUGCCAUCCCUGGCAGAGUCACCAACUCCAUCAGAGUUAGACGUGUCUCAAAGCUCCACGGAGGGGCCUUCACUUACCUCCAGCCUGAGUGCCCAAGUCAGCCACGGUAAGGGGCAGGCUCAGGCUGCAGCUGGUGGGCUAAGUCAGCUAGCUGUCCAGACUGUUCCUCCUGCAGAACUCUCUCUAAGCCCAGGAGGGAAAGAAGUUGAUGGUGGCUAGGGUUCUGAUGGUAUGUCCUGACACUCGGCUGGAAAGAGUUGACAAGGGAGAGUCAUGCAUGGACCACCUUUAGUAACUUGCUUUUCCUGGACUCCUAACUCUUACCCAAGAGGCCAAGUUUCACACCAGAGCCCUGACUGAACACAAUGGAAAUGGUGUCAUAGAAAUGGUCUUGGGACAGUCAUCGAUUCUUUCAAUUUCUUCAGCCAGCCACGAGGUGGGUUCCACUCACCCUCUAGUAACUCUGGGAUUACCCAUAAUGGCUUGUUUCCUCCAGUCACCCCUCAGCACAGGUGUGGAAAUGGGCAACCUGUUGGACGUGACUUGGCAGAGUCCAUAGCUAGGCAGCUGCAGGCCUGGACUUCAGUGAUGUAAGACUCCACUGCUCAGGUCCUUCCCUGCCAUUAGAGAAUGGAAUGGCAGUCAGGCCAUGGAGUGUGCUGGAUGAGAAAGAGGCAGCCACAGCCCAUCUAGGGGCAGCCUUGGAAUGAUGGCCGAUGUUUCUCACCCAUGCAGACUGUGGUCAGCAGGGAGGGAGCCCAGAUCCCCAGCCAGGUCUCUUCAUUGCCUCCUGUAGUUUUCACACCAUGUGUUGCUGCUGGACCACCACAAUGAGAAAGGGACUGGUGACAAGUCACUUCUGAGAGGGGCCUGAACCACAGGAACAAGCUGGAAUAGUUACUGUCUGACAGUGAAGGGCUGCUGUGGUCCUCUCUCGGGACUCUGAUUUUUGGGAUCAGCCUCCCUCAGUCUCAGUACGUAGACAUGAGGCCAUGGUGGGCUCAGGUCCUUAGUUUGUCUUUGUGUUCUUACAAUCCUUGUGUGUGCUCCCACAACACCGAGAUGCUAACAUGACUGCACAGGGUUGCAACAUUGGAGCCAUGAGGAUGGAAAGCACACAGUAGGUGCCUAAUCAUGCAAUCCAUGUUUCCUUUUAGUCCCAUGAAGGAUACAGUAAGGGGGAUAUGAACACUAGAUGGAUGGAUUGGUAAUUAUAAACAAGAGAGAAAACUUUUUUCCCAUUGCCCACAGGACUGCUGUGAUUCAAACUGUUGUUUUGACUAAAAAGUGAACAAAACAUGAUGAGGAAAUUAGAGAUGUCUAAGUAGUUACCUUACUUGCUUUAAAAAAAAAAAAAACAAGGGAAACUUUACACAUACGCAGUUAUAGAGUCAAAGGGUUCAAAUUAGUCCUAGAACUCAAAGGAGAAUCAGGCUUAUUUAGCUUGUCCUAGGAUCUGUCAGUGUAGUAGCCCAGGCUGGCCAGGAGCACAGCCCAGAGUAGUGGCUGCCCUCCGCCAAGUGCAGGGUGUACACCUGAUGCUUGCCAGGCAUGCUGACAGUGCUAGAACAAGUCCCCACCUAUGGCUAGGGACACAUUGAGCCUAGGGGCAGGGGGUCAUGCGUACCAGCUGGUGCUUACUUCAGAGACAAGUGGGAACAAGCCUGGUGUGGACGUGUUACUGUGGGUAGAGAAGCCCUCAAAGGUAAUGGGAUAUGGUGUAGAUCCUACAUAUCCCUCAUGGACAGAUCCAGGCAGAGAAAACCACAGGUGCAAAGACGAUCGGUGCAUGGUAGUCAGAAGUGCGAGGAAACCCUGUGGUGUAGGGAAUGGCUGGGCCAUCCUGGAGGAGGAGUUUGAUCAUCCAAGGGUGAAGCAAGGUGACUCUGGGGAGGUGAGAGGGAUGGGAGCAGCUUCUAGCCCCUGGUGUGUUUGGAAUGAAGUACUGGUGAAGUGUGGAUGAGAGAGUGGUGACAUCGCUGGCGUGAGGGAUUAGAAGCACAGAGUUGCCAUUUAGUAAAUGAUGACUCAGAAGUGCAAGGAAUGGGCUUUGUGAGGCCUUUGGACACUCACUCAUGCUGGGCAGAUAGUGCAUCCAGAACCCAAGAACAGAGGCUUACAAAGCAUAAACUGAAGAGCUGCCCGUGGGCAGGCACCUGAGUUAGGUUAGGUCAUGGAGGACAGAGGAGCUUAUGGGAGAGGACUUGUGGCUGUAACUGGGAGAUGUCAAUAGGUGGAGAGGGGCUCAUGAAGGAGGUGUAUGGAGCACACUCCCAAGUGAUAGGUCCUAGAAACCGAGGGACACAGCCCAGCGGGGAAGGAAAGCACAGUGUUUGGAAUUUUCCAGACUAGAGCAUCCCCUGCCUCCCUGCCGGUGAGAAUGGCUGCUACAUGGGAAACAGGUGGCCCUGGCUCACACACCUGCCGGCUGGGAGGGGUCUGCCCUCUGAUGCUAGAGUGGGCUCUGAGUGGUGCCUCCGCUGCCUGCCAAGCCAGCGCGGCCCAGAGUGUCUAGAUACUGGAAGUAUGGCUUAUUAGAUGGGCUGGUGCAGCCUCAAGCCCAGCCAGAGGCUCACCUCAUCCCCUGUUACCUUUGUCCACUGUCUUCAGCCUAAGCUGGUCCCCAUCUUGAUUUUUAGGACUGAACCCUUGACUGGUGAAGCCAGUGGCAACAUCAAUGCAGUUAGGUGUUGCCACAAACAGAAGUCUUCCCUGGGGCCAUUUUCUGCCUUUAUAACUCAAGGUCUCAAAGGCUUCAUCCUAAGUAUAGCCAACUGUGGGUAGGGGGCAUAGAAAACACGGCCUGGCAGGGUUUGCACUGUGCUUGAGAAGCAGCUGCUGGAAAGAUGGUCCUGAGGGUUGGGCCAACAGGGCACAGGAGGUGGGGCAUUUCUAAACAAGUUGCCUAGAUGCUCUGACACUCAUGCGGCCUCUCCCCUGCACCUCAGACCUCUUCACUGUUGGUGGGUCUGCACAGGGAAUGGCAGGAAAGGCAGCAUCUUUGUUGGAUGAGUGACAUGUCCCCUGCUGACUGACAGGCAGGCUGAUGUGACGAUGGCCAUAGCUCAGCUGGACUCUAAGUGCCCAGAGGUUUGUCCCUUUUGAUAUAAAUGGAGACCAGUGUGUUAGGUGCCAUCGCAGUGACCUCCAAGCCUGCCGGUUGAGUCGAUGGCAGUGAUUGUGCCAGUGGAGCAGGGAGGCUCUGAAGGCCAGGCACUGUUGCUUAUAAACAUCUAUGGCACUGGUACUGGUACUGUACUCCUUUAAAAUGGCCCCUGAGACUCCUGUGCUCCUAGUCCCACCUGCUGUGUCCUUUGCCUGGGGCAGUCCCUGCUGCAGGGCUUCAUCCUCUUCCGCAGCCCUGUAGAUCGGGGAUGAUAGCAGAAGCCCCUGUCCCAGUAGGAGCAGAAUCUGUGCCCGUGCUCCCAGGUCUGUGAGGAGCAGAAUCUGUGCCCGUGCUUCCAGGUCUGAGCCACUGCAGAGUAAGAGCCACUGCAGCCAUUAGCACCCCCCUUGCACACACACAAUUACAGGUAAGGGCACUGAUGUGUCUGCCUGUGUCUUAGGCAUACAGGAAGGCCUUGCUUUGUUUGCCCUGUGUGGGGAGCUGUGGAUGGGAGCCAGGCCACAGGCAUAUUGCUGCCUUUGUGCACACAUGAGGCAAGUGCUCUGUCCUCGUGCUACGCCACUGAAUGCACUCGUGGAUCAGGAAGUACUGAGCCAUUUCUGUCAGGUUUAUAACCAGAGCCCCUGCUCUGGGAGCUGAAGAUGUGAGGCCUGGCCACUCACCUCAAAGGAGAAAGAAGAAAGUAAUGAGUAAAAGGCAGGGUCAGGAUUUUAGCCACAGUUGACACGUGUAAGCAUUGGCAGCUGCUGGGACACUGGUAUGACUAUGCAGGGACGCCACAGGACAGAGGCAGAGGCUGAGCUUGUUAAGCAGUGCUGGGCAAGGUGUGGCCUGGGUGACCACUAGCCACUUCUGGUUCUAUAAAGGUGCCCCAGGAAGGUCCAACUCCCCGAGAUGAUUGAUCCCGCUGUGUCUCGGGGGGUGGGGGCUGUUCCUAAGAUGGAGGGGCUGUAGUUUGGGGACAGUGGCUGAAGACUUUGGCACACUUCCUUGGAGAUCUGAAAUAGGAUGUAAAAGCAGACUAAUCUCUGUGCCCUUGGCCUAGAAGAGGGUAGGCUAGGUUAGCUGUCCCUGGUUUGAAGACACUCCCUGUGUGCCUCCUGCGGCUUAGCACAAACAGAUAUAGAAUGAAGGCAGAGCUGUAUUCAGAGAACAGAUGGUGCCUACUGGGGUGACACAUGUACUGGGAAUAUAGAGGCAGGCGGAUCUGUGAGUUUGGAGCUAGCCUGAUCUACAUCGUGAGUUCAGACUAGACAAGGCUACAGAGUGAGACCUUGUCUCAAAAAAAAAAAAACCCCACAAAAAAACAAAACAACAACAACAAAACCCAAACCCCCUGUAGUUUCCAAGAGCCUGAUUACUCUGUAGUCUCUGGCAUUCCCUGUGCAGCCUAGGGAAGGGUAAUAUCCAGUGAUCCCACCAGACAAAGGGCAGAGGUCAGUGUAGUCCCACAAAAGCAAGGCCAUCUUGGAGUCAUCUUGGACAUAUCAUAGCAUUCUGCCCUCACUGUCUUCAAGAGAGAGGUGAGCCUUUUGCCCCUGCACAUUCUGUCUGGAUGUAGCAUUUGUCACCCAGCUGUAAUGUCUGGAGGACAUGUAUUGGAGACAGGACUCCUGCAAGCAUGAGAACACAACCAUGUUGGAAGUUUACAGUGGCCUGUGUCACAGUGACCACUGGUUGGUUCCCCUGCCCUUGAGUGCACUGUCUUCUCUGCUUGACACCCUUCCAUGACUCCUGAGAGUCCUCUACCUUCCAAGGCCAUGCCCUUGGGGACAACACUGGUGUCCUCCUUCUGGACCUCUUCACGGGCAGUUUCCUCUUGGGCUACAUACAGUAACUCUGCCAGAGCCCCUCAUGAAAGGAACAAUUUAAGGAGCCCAUUUGGUUUUAACUCAGAAGGAACCUAUUAUGGUCAGGGUCAAAACACAGCAUGGCAGGGUGCUCUGGUAGGGCAGGAGAACCCUUCCUGGCUGUCAGGCACACUUGCAGUGAACCUCACCUCCAGAUUCACCCAGACACCAUCCUGAUCUCCAUGAAGCACCUCAGAGAAGUUCAGUGAUGUAUCGCUAGCGUGAGAAGGGGAAGGCAGCAUGGUGCACAUUUUCCAUUUGUAGAAUUAACAAGCAAAGCAGUAAGUUACACACACACACACACACACACACACACACACUCACACACAUACACACACUCACACACACACAGCGCACGCACACACACACACACACACACACACACACACUGUACAGUAGGUAGCUCAAGAAAGGUAUAUCAGAACUAAAGAGGGUUGUUCCCUGGACGCCAGGGCUGGUGGGGCAUACACAUGUCACUUGUGCUUUUCUGUUUAAAUUUGCUCCACUUUCUGUGUUACCUAUUCCAGGAAGUAAUGAAAUAAGAUUCCACAUUUCAAAAGGCUUGAGGCUGAAAAGCAGAGCUAGUGAAGACAGAGGGAGCAGUCUCUUGGCCACAUCUCCUUUGCCUUCCAAGAAAGGUGCAGAGGUCUUUUUUAUGGGCCUCCUUCUUCUGUCUGAACAUCCUUGUUCUAAUAGCCUCUUUCUGGGAGGAAGCCUGGGAAGGAGGAAGCUGAAGUCCUCACAACAUUUAACUGGAAAUGAACCCUGAGGUGAGCCAUACAGGCACCGAGCGAGGUGGCCUUGCCCUUCUCUAAGAGUUUCCUCCACUGAGCUCUGGCUUCCAGCUGCCCUGAGCUUUGUUGUGAGGUGAGGCCUGUUCUGGAAUGAGGCGUGGCAUACAGCUGCUAAGAAGGCACUCUGUAGAACACUCUGUCCCCCUAGCUUGACUUGCAUGCCUCCUCUAGAGACAGUCCGAAGUCAAGUCCCAAAAUUCACUGUUUGCCAGCCCACCAGAAACCCACCUUACCCUCAGUGAUCAGUGGAUUCGUUCAUGUAUUGAUUGGUGCUUCGAUUCCUCUGCUUCCUGAUUUCCGCCCUGGACUUUCCAGAAAGCUCUAAAUGAGUCUUGCAGCUCAACUCGAACACGGUUUGAAGUUUGGUGACUCUAGAGCAUACAUGGGCUGAGAACCACUUUUGUGAGCCCAGAACAGACCCCAAGUGUAUCCACUCAGCAUCCUUCUGUGUGAUGCAGGCUGCUGCUUGUAAGUCUGUUCUCACCUCCCACCUGACAGGGCGCCCCAGGUCUGAGUGAGACAACUCAGGGCAGUAACAAGGUCUCUUCCCUCACCAGCAGCUGAAUAGCACAUGGGCUCUGGGGUUGCCGUCUUCCUAGCUGGAUGAUGGAGACCUGCCGCCAACCCUUGGGAGGGAGAGCGAGCGGGCGAGCUGGAGGCUGGACUUUGUUGAUGUGGUUGCUGUUCUGCGGGUCACUCGGUCUGUGUCGUAGCUGCUCAUCUGUGCUGAUACCAUCAGAAUAAAACCGUUAGGGAAGUAUUCGGCUGUGGUCACUUUACCUGCAGUACACUAGCGCACUGGAAAGGAAGUCUUCCAGGCCGGGGGCAGGCAUGGGCUGCAAGAGUCUGAGCAGUUGUAUGGACACAGCCAUCACUGUCCUGAGAAGUCAUCCUCAAGGUGCCACUUGAGGAGGCAUAGGAAGUGCCCAGGGAGGGUGAGGGGACUCCAGGAUGGCUCCAGACACAUAAGGUCUGGUAGCAUUUAAGCAACCCCUGCCUGCCAUGGGAAGUGGAUUGGCCCAGGCUCACGCCCAGAGCCACAGCUGAAGCUGUGGAUUUGCUGUUAGACUUUGAGAACUCAGCUUUCAGGUUGAGUUAACAUUGAAGCCUUUGGAACUGAGGGACCAGGCACUGUUGUUGGGGACGGAACAUCACUGAGAGUCGCCCAUCUGAGGCUGGAAUUAGGACAGGUUAGCCAUGUUUCCCAGGCUGUCUUGAUCCUCCUGUUUUCUAUCCCCAAGUGUAGGGCUGCUAGGACAGCAGACAGACACCAGAGCACCCACAGCAGCAUUAGACUGUAGUGGAGGGCCCCAACCUCACACCUCUAGCCACUGUCCCCAUAGAGCCCCCUAUUACCUUUGGCCAGGGCUUCCUCACUAUGCUUUGCUACCCCUCAAGACCCUGCUGGAGUUGACACCAUGCUCAUUUUGACCACCCAUUUCAACAUGAGCACAUCCUCAAUGGCCUCUGCCUCCUCACUCUUUACAGAACUCGGUGGGAAAAGACUCUUGCCACAGCUUACAGAGUAUAGCUAAAGAGGAGAGAGCCCAGAAUCCACUCAGAGUAGGGCUGAGUCUGGGGAAAUGAACACAUUUCCCCCAUACUUUUAUGUACAUAGGAGGUUAUUUGCUUUGAAGACUAGCAUUAUUAGACUGGGUAAGGAGGAAGAGAAGCUUUGAGACUGUAUCCCACAUGCACUCCUCUUCCCCUGGGACCUGCAGGGCAUCCUGAGCAAUGGCUGAGAGGCUUAAGAAUACAUCUGUCCAUUGAACACACAUCUGUGCUCACCCUACAGCCUGAGCUCUGGGCCCACCCAUGUCAUGUGGCAGCCCCACCUACCCCAGGGUUGUGAACCACACCUUGGCCACCAAACACUGGCAAUGCCCUGAUUCUCCUCUUGGACGGACACCAGCGGGCGCAGGGGUUUCGGAGGAGGCAUGCUAUCUUUGGAUGAGGCCGUGUUAGAGAUGAAGGGAUGCCUGGCAGAGCACUUGGCUAGUGACAGCCUCAAAACAGGCUCGUGCAUGGCACCCAAAGCUAGCUCAGACAGCCUGGGUUAGUGGGCCUUCCAGGCUGCUUAAAAAGUGGGAAACGUUUACCUCAUGUCUUCCAGUCACACUGACCAAGUGGUGCUGGCCCUCCCUCUGGUCUCCACUGGUCUCACAUGUGACCCCAUUCCCUGCUGUGUCAUUCCCAUUUAAACUCUAACUUUAUCCAGAUCUCUUCCUGUCUUGCAG
Rattus norvegicus (Norway rat) is the source of this 13027-nucleotide non-coding RNA. Lineage: Eukaryota; Metazoa; Chordata; Mammalia; Rodentia; Muridae. The record is from RefSeq and is a predicted model, not a curated record.